Molecule: ribosomal RNA, 464 nt
Filed under: uncultured bacterium
Lineage: Bacteria
Description: partial 16S ribosomal RNA
Rfam family: Bacterial small subunit ribosomal RNA
Source: RNAcentral
CCUACGGGCGGCAGCAGUGGGGAAUUUUGGACAAUGGGCGCAAGCCUGAUCCAGCUAUUCCGCGUGUGGGAUGACGGCCCUCGGGUUGUAAACCACUUUAGUAGAGAACGAAAAGGAGCUAUCGAAUAAAUAGCUCUGCUGACGGUACUCUAAGAAUAAGCACCGGCUAACUACGUGCCAGCAGCCGCGGUAAUACGUAGGGUGCGAGCGUUAAUCGGAAUUACUGGGCGUAAAGGGUGUGCAGGCGGCUGAGUAAGACAGCGGUAAAAGCCCGGGGCUCAACCCCGGCGAGCCGUUGAAACUGGCUGUCUUGAGAUGUCUAGAGGUAUGCGGAAUGCGCAGUGUAGCGGUGAAAUGCUUAGAUAUUGCGCAGAACUCCGAUUGCGAAGGCAGCUUGCUGGGUCGAUACUGACAUUGAGGCACGAAAGCGUGGGGAGCAAACAGGAUUAGAUACCCCAGUAGUC